UGCCGUGAACUCCAUGCCCUGUGGCUGAGC
RNAcentral lists this non-coding RNA (30 nucleotides) under Homo sapiens (human). Lineage: Eukaryota; Metazoa; Chordata; Mammalia; Primates; Hominidae. The record is from RNAcentral.